This 480-nucleotide unclassified non-coding RNA is filed under the name Hevea brasiliensis (rubber tree). The record is from RNAcentral. Lineage: Eukaryota; Viridiplantae; Streptophyta; Magnoliopsida; Malpighiales; Euphorbiaceae.
GAACUCAACACCAUCAGCAUCAAUGCGACUCCAUAAACGCUGCGCCUUCCCUUUCGGUCACCUAGUCUACCGAACACCACCUGACCUAUUGCGGUGCCGAGAAGGGUGGUGCUGACCAUUAAAGCGACUACACCGGUUGGGAUUUCGUAUUUGUUGGGUUCAGGCCUGUCCUCGUAGUACAUCCUUCCUAUAAGUUUCAUAAUUGGAGGGAUGCAGAAGAAAUCGUAGGCGUCAGUGAAGAGGCCCAUCCCUGCUACGAUGAUGGCUUUGAAGUGGUAAUACUGAGUUCUUGCAGAGUCAAGGGCAGAAAGGACUUUUAACGGCAUUGUUGCUGCUGAUGUUAAGAAGUUGGAAAGUGGAAAGGAAAUGAAAAUGGGUAAUCUGAUGUUGGAGCGAUUGAAAAUGGAGUUUUUGAAUUUUAUAUACAGAAAUGAAGAAAGGAAAUUGAUUUGUGAAGGUAAGCUAUGAGAAAUUUCGAUG